RNAcentral lists this transfer RNA (72 nucleotides) under Flavobacteriia bacterium. Its description in RNAcentral is "tRNA-Cys". It matches the Rfam family "tRNA". From Rfam's summary of the family: Transfer RNA (tRNA) molecules are approximately 80 nucleotides in length. Their secondary structure includes four short double-helical elements and three loops (D, anti-codon, and T loops). The record is from RNAcentral. Lineage: Bacteria; Pseudomonadati; Bacteroidota; Flavobacteriia.
GGUUUCGUGGCCGAGAGGCUUAGGCAACGGUCUGCAAAACCGUCUACAGCGGUUCGAAUCCGCUCGAAACCU